RNAcentral lists this transfer RNA (73 nucleotides) under Solirubrobacterales bacterium. Its description in RNAcentral is "tRNA-Val". It matches the Rfam family "tRNA". From Rfam's summary of the family: Transfer RNA (tRNA) molecules are approximately 80 nucleotides in length. Their secondary structure includes four short double-helical elements and three loops (D, anti-codon, and T loops). The record is from RNAcentral. RNAcentral also lists the same sequence under 5 other names. Lineage: Bacteria; Bacillati; Actinomycetota; Thermoleophilia; Solirubrobacterales.
GGGCGGUUAGCUCAGCUGGUAGAGCGCCUGCCUUACAAGCAGGAGGUCACUGGUUCGAGCCCAGUACCGCCCA